RNAcentral lists this ribosomal RNA (306 nucleotides) under uncultured bacterium. Its description in RNAcentral is "partial 16S ribosomal RNA". It matches the Rfam family "Bacterial small subunit ribosomal RNA", at positions 507 to 807 of the family's 1533-position model. The record is from RNAcentral.
GACAGCAGUCGCCGCGGGAACACGUAGGGUGCGAGCGUUAAUCGGAAUGACUGGGCGUAAAGGGCGCGUAGGCGGCGAUCAAAGUCAGGCGUGAAAUUCCUGGGCUCAACCUGGGGGCUGCGCUUGAUACUUGGUUGCUUGAGUGGGGAAGAGGGUCGUGGAAUUCCCAGUGUAGAGGUGAAAUUCGUAGAUAUUGGGGAGAACACCGGUGGCGAAGGCGGCGACCUGGUCCUUGACUGACGCUGAGGCGCGAAAGCGUGGGGAGCAAACAGGAUUAGAUACCCGUGUAGUCCCUGUCUCUUAUAC